This is a long non-coding RNA of Haemorhous mexicanus (house finch), 2225 nucleotides long. RefSeq lists it as uncharacterized. The transcript is spliced from 4 exons. The record is from RefSeq and is a predicted model, not a curated record. Lineage: Eukaryota; Metazoa; Chordata; Aves; Passeriformes; Fringillidae.
GGCUCGCGGCCCCUCCAGGCGUCUGUGAUUGGUCCGCGCGCGCGCGAGGGGAGCACGAGGCGCUCGCCCGCGGGGCGGGGGCUGAGCCUGAGGGGAACGCUGAGGGAAGCAACUGUAGCCUUGAAAGUCCUGGUUGUGACAUGUACUGUGGUACAACACCAGCUUCAGAUGUAGCUGCAACCCACAGAACAAUACACCAUGACGUCUGCUGUGGCCAGGCAUUAGACUAAUAGUUUUCUGCAUUAUGAAUUCCUUUGUGGAAGUGUAUCACUGGGAGCCAAACAAACCUGCUGCAAGGAAUAACAUUCCAGACCCACCUCUACUUCUGCCUGUGCAUCAUGGACAAAUUGCCUGCAUAAGGUGAAUGACGUUUCUGCAAACCAACCUGCCACUACACCUAGUGAAACUGCCAGAGGAGUAUGAACCUGCCAGCAGGAGCAGCAGGGCACAGAAGGGCUGCAGGUAAAAGUAUGCAGAGACUAUGUUCAGCUUUCGCUCAUACAGCCAGAAAUGCUUGUAGAGCACAGCAUCCAGUCACACCGCCUGUGAAUUGUAGAGGAAAGAGCUGUGUUAGUGUCAUUUGUAAUCAGCUGUUUCCUGGACACUUCCGACUUUAAGGCAAGCCCUUAAUAACCCAUCUCUCUCUCCUUUAACCCAUUUUAUGACACAGUACAAUUAAAGACCCCACAAGAUGAGUCACCACAGCUGUGCGCAAACCCUCCAAAGUGUCUGUAUAGUCUUCCCUGAACUGAGUGGACUGCACAGAGAGAUCCACCCACGUUCUAAAAUCAUACACAUCCUAGCAUGACACAAGGCCUUUCCCAAAGACGGCCAAAGUUACAAGUAUUAGGUUCAUUCUACACUUAAUUCUCUCCACAAAUGCCUUCACCACUGGGUAACACAGUGGCUGUGUAAAUCAAGGUCUUGAUCUUUAGGGCAGAGAGAGUUGGACUUGACAUCCUGAGCAGCCAAUAGUGGAUUCAGCUGACCCAACAGCACCUGUUUUAGUAUGAAACUUGUGCUUCUAUGUACAAAAACUUGUGCUUCUAGAUACAAAAACUCAAAAACUUAAUCCACAGUCGAGAAGAAACACAAAUACUACAGACCAAAGCAAUACACAGUUAUGUCAACUCUGAUGUUUCCAACCUGUUUGAAAAAAAUGGCUUAGAAAGCUGACAUACAUACAUACAAACAACCCAUUGUGCCCAGAAGUUUCCUAACAUUCUUUUAUUAAAAACCAAAGAGCCAAAGAUCGCCCUGAUGCUCUUCAUUGUUAUAAAGCAGACUCUGAAGUAUUAAGUGAAUUAUGUAUGAGUGAAGAACUCCAACUGAUGCAGAGUUUAAAACUAGGUUUACAGUUUCCUAUUUUAUUGGCAUGGAUGUAUUUCUAAACUUAAAAACCUUUCUGGCAAGUUAUCUCAAUUUCUUAUGACAAAAUUUCUCACAACACACAAAUAUUUACAACAUAUACAUAUUUUUUCAUUCUUUUACAACUGGUUCUUAAAAGACAAACAAUUCUUAGGUUACCACAGAACAAAAGCUGUGACUUAGUUGUUUUUAAUUUGAUAAAACUAUCAUAAGUUAAAGUGAAUAGAUUUUUCUUUAAAUUCCUUGUAGCAUUUUACAAGUGCAACAGAAAAAUAUGAAGAACCAAUUUAGGAUAGCUGCAGUUCAUUGGAUAAAUGUUGCCCGUCGUAAUCACAUUAUUUCACAGCAAAUUCUUGAAAAAAUAAGCACCAAUCAUUCUUGCAAAGAACAAUUUUAUCUAAAAGUAUUGAAAAGUGUUAAAUACAAGGUGUUUAAUUUACGUAACAAGCAAUAAAUACACCAUAUCCAAACUUUAUUCUGCAUACUGCUACCCUUGUACAUAUAAUGUACUAAAAAGUCAGCAAAUUGUCAACACCUUUUCAUAUUUUUUUUCUCUUUUUUUAAAGAAAUCAAUUUGACUUCCAACCAACGGUUUGCUACUAUAACAAAGGCCACAAACAGUACGUCUGGGACAGCUUACAGUGUUAAAACUGACAAACUCCAAGGGGGAAAAACCAUCUAGCAAAUAAAUUGGAAAGCUGUAGAUCAUUGCUGGUGAUGUUAACAUAUACUAGAAAACCUUAAUAUGCUGCUACUAUGAUUUUGUAAAUUGUUUAGUCAAAUAUUGUAAGAGCAAACUAACGCUCCUACUGAUCAAAAAUAAUUCUGUAGCCACACUGUAUUCUCAUUGUCCUGCA